RNAcentral lists this ribosomal RNA (506 nucleotides) under uncultured bacterium. Its description in RNAcentral is "partial 16S ribosomal RNA". It matches the Rfam family "Bacterial small subunit ribosomal RNA", at positions 29 to 523 of the family's 1533-position model. The record is from RNAcentral.
AGUGAACGCUGGCGGUAGGCCUAACACAUGCAAGUCGAACGGCAGCACAGGAGAGCUUGCUCUCUGGGUGGCGAGUGGCGGACGGGUGAGGAAUACAUCGGAAUCUACUUUUUCGUGGGGGAUAACGUAGGGAAACUUACGCUAAUACCGCAUACGACCUACGGGUGAAAGCAGGGGAUCUUCGGACCUUGCGCGAUUGAAUGAGCCGAUGUCGGAUUAGCUAGUUGGCGGGGUAAAGGCCCACCAAGGCGACGAUCCGUAGCUGGUCUGAGAGGAUGAUUAGCCACACUGGAACUGAGACACGGUCCAGACUCCUACGGGAGGCAGCAGUGGGGAAUAUUGGACAAUGGGCGCAAGCCUGAUCCAGCCAUACCGCGUGGGUGAAGAAGGCCUUCGGGUCGUAAAGCCCUUUUGUUGGGAAAGAAAUCCAGCUGGUUAAUACCCGGUUGGGAUGACGGUACCCAAAGAAUAAGCACCGGCUAACUUCGUGCCAGCAGCCGCCGUAA